UGUGAAAUGGGAAAAAAACACGUUAUUGAUCAGCAAAGUCAAGAUCUGUAGUUCAAAGAACAUCUGAUCCUCAGAGAAGAUUGCAUAUGUUGAGAAACAACUAAGAAGAUCAGCUCAAGAUGAUGGAUUUUCAUCAAGAAUUUGAAGUGUCUUGGAUAUUUCCAUACUGUAUUGCAACA
This is a long non-coding RNA of Nothoprocta perdicaria, 179 nucleotides long. RefSeq lists it as uncharacterized. NCBI's taxonomy places the organism in Eukaryota, Metazoa, Chordata, Aves, Tinamiformes, Tinamidae. The record is from RefSeq and is a predicted model, not a curated record. The transcript is spliced from 2 exons.